GGGGGUGUAGUUCAGUGGUAGAGCACUUGCCUAGCAUGGCAAGGCCCUGGGAUCAAUCCCCAGCACCCCCG
This 71-nucleotide transfer RNA is filed under the name Ictidomys tridecemlineatus (thirteen-lined ground squirrel). RNAcentral's name for it is "Spermophilus tridecemlineatus (thirteen-lined ground squirrel) tRNA". It matches the Rfam family "tRNA". Rfam says of the family: Transfer RNA (tRNA) molecules are approximately 80 nucleotides in length. Lineage: Eukaryota; Metazoa; Chordata; Mammalia; Rodentia; Sciuridae. The record is from Rfam by way of RNAcentral.